UAACGCGUGAGGAACCUGCCUUCCAGAGGGGGACAACAGUUGGAAACGACUGCUAAUACCGCAUGACACAUGACCGUGGCAUCACGGACAUGUCAAAGAUUUAUCGCUGGAAGAUGGCCUCGCGUCUGAUUAGCUGGUAGGCGGGGUAACGGCCCACCUAGGCGACGAUCAGUAGCCGGACUGAGAGGUUGACCGGCCACAUUGGGACUGAGAUACGGCCCAGACUCCUACGGAAGGCAGCAG
This 243-nucleotide ribosomal RNA is filed under the name uncultured bacterium. RNAcentral describes it as "partial 16S ribosomal RNA". It matches the Rfam family "Bacterial small subunit ribosomal RNA", at positions 111 to 354 of the family's 1533-position model. The record is from RNAcentral.